This 854-nucleotide ribosomal RNA is filed under the name uncultured bacterium. RNAcentral describes it as "bacterial SSU rRNA". It matches the Rfam family "Bacterial small subunit ribosomal RNA", at positions 41 to 879 of the family's 1533-position model. The record is from RNAcentral.
GGCAUGGAUUAGGCAUGCGAGUCGAACGCGAAAGAGGGGGCAACCCCUCAAGUAGAGUGGCGAACGGGUGAGUAACGCGUGAAGAACCUGCCUUCGAGAGGGGGAUAACACUCCCAACGGGGUGCUAAUACCGCAUGAGACCACGGGUCCACCUGGACCUGAGGUCAAAGGUGGCCUCUGCUUGCAAGCUACCGCUCGAAGAUGGCUUCGCGUCCCAUUAGCUAGUUGGCGGUGUAACGGACCACCAAGGCGACGAUGGGUAGCUGGUCUGAGAGGAUGGUCAGCCACACUGGGACUGAGAUACGGCCCAGACUCCUACGGGAGGCAGCAGUCGAGAGGCUUUGGCAAUGGGGGAAACCCUGACCAAGCGACGCCGCGUGGAGGAUGAAGGCCCUUGGGUUGUAAACUCCUUUUGUUGGGGAAGAAAUGCGAUCAGGUGAACAAUCUGGUCGUUUGACGGUACCCAGCGAAUAAGCUCCGGCUAACUCCGUGCCAGCAGCCGCGGUAACACGGGGGGAGCAAGCGUUGUUCGGAAUUACUGGGCGUAAAGGGCGUGUAGGCGGUCAGAUAAGUGGAAUGUGAAAUGCCCCGGCUCACCCGGGGACCGGCAUCCCAAACUGUCUGGCUUGAGUAUGGGAGAGGAUGGAGGAAUUCCUGUGUAGCGGUGAAAUGCGUAGAUAUCAGAGGAACACCGGUGGCGAAGGCGUCCAUCUGGCCCAUACUGACGCUGAGGCGCGAAAGCUAGGGAGCGAACGGGAUUAAAUACCCCGGUAGUCCUAUCCGUAACGUGAUCACUAGUGUUGGGGCAUCGACCCUCCCGUGCCCAGCUACGCAUUAAGUGAUCCGCCGGGGGA